UACGGAGGGUGCAAGCGUUAUCCGGAUUCACUGGGUUUAAAGGGUGCGUAGGUGGGCAAGUAAGUCAGUGGUGAAAUCUCCGGGCUUAACCCGGAAACUGCCAUUGAUACUAUUUAUCUUGAAUACUGUGGAGGUCAGCGGAAUAUGUCAUGUAGCGGUGAAAUGCUUAGAUAUGACAUAGAACACCAAUUGCGAAGGCAGCUGGCUACACAAAUAUUGACACUGAGGCACGAAAGCGUGGGGAUCAAACAGG
RNAcentral lists this ribosomal RNA (253 nucleotides) under uncultured bacterium. Its description in RNAcentral is "partial 16S ribosomal RNA". It matches the Rfam family "Bacterial small subunit ribosomal RNA", at positions 524 to 776 of the family's 1533-position model. The record is from RNAcentral.